Molecule: transfer RNA, 60 nt
Filed under: Cercopithecus hamlyni (owl-faced monkey)
Lineage: Eukaryota; Metazoa; Chordata; Mammalia; Primates; Cercopithecidae
Description: partial tRNA-Ile
Source: RNAcentral
UGUNUGACAAAAGAGUUACUUUGAUAGAGUAAAUAAUAGAGGUUUCAACCCUCUUAUUUC